This 379-nucleotide unclassified non-coding RNA is filed under the name uncultured bacterium. RNAcentral's name for it is "contains 16S-23S intergenic spacer region". The record is from RNAcentral.
UCGCGUCUUACGACGGCAGUUUCACUAGAGUUCCCAGCUUGACCUGAUGGCAACUAAUGACAAGGGUUGCGCUCGUUGCGGGACUUAACCCAACAUCUCACGACACGAGCUGACGACGGCCAUGCAUCACCUGUCACUAGGUUCCUUGCGGCACUCACUCCUUUCGGAGUAAUUCCUAGGAUGUCAAACCCUGGUAAGGUUCUUCGUUUAGCAUCGAAUUAAAGAACACGAUCCACCGCUUGUGCGGGUCCCCGUCAAUUCCUUUAUGUUUUAGUCUUGCGACCGUACUCCACAGGCGGGAUACUUAACGCGUUAGCUUCGCUACUGGAGGGGUCGAUACCCCCAACAGCUAGUAUCCAUCGUUUACGGCGUGGACUAC